Molecule: small RNA, 227 nt
Filed under: Nannospalax galili (Upper Galilee mountains blind mole rat)
Lineage: Eukaryota; Metazoa; Chordata; Mammalia; Rodentia; Spalacidae
Description: 7SK RNA (ENSNGAG00000007498.1)
Rfam family: 7SK RNA
About the family: 7SK was discovered as an abundant small nuclear RNA in the mid-70s but a possible function has only recently been suggested. Two independent studies have found that 7SK RNA binds the CDK9/cyclin T complex (known as elongation factor P-TEFb).
Source: RNAcentral
AUAGGAGGGAAUCUUGUGGCAAUUUCUGUCACCACACUGACUGUCAGGAUUUAUUUGGCUGAUCUAGAUAUGUAGAUAGGUAGGUGUGCCUGUCUUACUCACAGGUAUAAGAACAUCUUUCCAGAAAGAGCAUGCUAGGUGGAAGAUGGUGACCUUUCCCAAUAGAGAAAAACCAUCCUUUGGUCAAGAGUAUAGACACAAUUAUGCUCUCUUAAAUUACAUUUAUU